AUGCAAUUUUUCCUAAUUUUAAUUGACAUCAAGCACGCGGUGGCGGCGGCGACGGCGCAGAAGCGGCUCCGCUUCGAGCUCUCCCCUCCAUUGAGGCCGCCGCAGGCGCAGCCAGAGAGGAGGGAGAAGAGACCGUACCGGUUCCGGCCAGGGACGGUGGUGCUGCGCGAGAUCAGGAGGUACCAGAAAUCCACCGCGCUGCUCAUCCCCCUCGCGCGCUUCGUCCGCCUGGUUAGGGAGAUCACCCAGGACCUCAGUAAGCCGGGAGAGUUUUUACGCUGGACUCCUCAGGCGCUCGUCGCGCUGCAAGAGGCUGCAGAAUAUGAAAUGGUCGACCAAUUAGAAAGGGCAAAUCUCUGUGCCAUCCACGCGAAACGUGUUACCAUCAUGCAGAAGGACAUGCAGCUCCUGAGGCGUCUCGGGGGGAGAAGGCCUUGGUGA
This 441-nucleotide ribosomal RNA is filed under the name Triticum aestivum (bread wheat). Its description in RNAcentral is "partial small subunit ribosomal RNA". The record is from RNAcentral. Lineage: Eukaryota; Viridiplantae; Streptophyta; Magnoliopsida; Poales; Poaceae.